This 91-nucleotide ribosomal RNA is filed under the name Negativicoccus succinicivorans. The record is from RNAcentral. Lineage: Bacteria; Bacillati; Bacillota; Negativicutes; Veillonellales; Veillonellaceae.
ACCUGUACCCAUGCCGAACACAGUAGUUAAGCUCGUAAACGCCGAAAGUACUUGGCUGGAAACGGCCCGGGAGCAUAGGUAGCUGCUGAUU